AGAAUACAAAGUUUUCCCUUGUUAUUGGAAAAAUGAAUUAUAUUUUCACUUGAAAAGAGGAAAGCACAUUUUCUACCCUUAGUCAGAACCAUCUGCUAAGAACACUGAGAAAUCAACUUUGGAUAGGUGAAAUUUAAAGGUGAGAAAAGGCACUGGUUUUGGUCCUCUGUUCAUUUUACAUGUAGCAUUUUCCUUUUUCUUUCUUAUCUCUAUUUUACCAUAUUUUAUCAACUCAGAGUUAAUUUCUACAACAGUAAUCUACUUAUUAGCAAAUCUCAAUGACACUGUGUUUUUUUGUUUUGUUUUGUUUUGUUUUGCUCUUUAGGGCUGCAUCCACAUCAUAUUCAGGUUCCCAGGCUAGGGGUCAAAUCAGAGCUGUAGCUGCUGGCCUACACCACAGACAUAGCAACACUGGAUCCGAGCUGUGUCUGUGAACUACACCACAGCUCAUGGCAACGCCAGAUUUUUAACCCACUGAGCAAGGCCAGGGAUCAAACCCACAACCUCAUGGUUCCUAGUCAGAUACGUUUUGCUGCACCACGAUGGGAACUCCCACAGUGACACUGUUUUGAUUACAAAAAGGCCAUGGUUUGUUGUGGGGAAUGGGAACAUACUAAGUAGUUACAAUGAAAUGCAGUUUUUAUAAAAAUCAUGAACAUUUGUAGGAUCAAAUAAUAUAAACUACUAUGUAACAAUGGUUCAGCUUUGUUUGAGUGAGACAAUCUGGUUCACAUCCCAGCCAGAACACCUGAAGCUGUGUGAUUAGAGGCAAGAUCCGAUCUUCAGGUUUCUCAUUAAAUUUUCGAUCCAUUUUACAAACUAAAGACCCUAGUCCCUACCUCAUGGUGUUACUAUGAGAAUUAAAAUUUAAAAAGCAGUUACCUCACUGUCAUAUAAACUCAGUUAUUCACAUGGAAAAUAAUUAUCAAUUAUACAAUUAUCUUUUGACUUUUGGGGAAGGGUAGAAAACUACAUUUUGUUUUUUGCCUAUUGUACUCUACAAGAGAUUAUAUCAUCAAACUUAGAUUAAACAAACUCAUAUGCACUGUUUUACAUCUUUGGUAAUAAAAGCUAAUUAAUACUAAAUGCUAAUGAGGAUGGUAAUAUUUUUCACUCCAUUUUCUUAGUUUCUCAGGGAGACAAAUUGUUUUACAAAAACCUUACAGUUAAAUAUUACUUGACAAACGUGGGCCUUCUGCUACAAAAAUUCUGAGACAAAGCAUAAGUUCGAGACUUUCACACAAACACAUAAAAAUAAAAUGAGAUACUUUACUUUUGGUCAGGGAGAGACAUUUGGCAACUGUUUCCAGAUCUGUUGUCUAUUACAUUGUCACAUAGUUUAUGAUUAAAAUAUGUGUGGCUAUGUGAUUGCUUUUAUGAAUAUAAUUUUAUUUUAAAUUAUAUAUGUAAAAUCAAUCAUAUAACACAUACUAUAUAUAUAUGUAUAAAAAUAGCAAAGCAGAUUAUGUUAUACUGUGUUUAUUUUAGGGUUCCUUAAUACUAUGUAGAAAAAAUUUAAAUGUUCUCAGUGAAAAGAGGAUACAUGUAAUCUAGUCACAGACGCCCUUGAUUUCAAACUCCUUUGAGCUCCUUAAUCUUGUGCAAAUUAUUAAAUCUCAAUCUUUGUACCCUCGUCUAUAAAAUAGAUUGUAUAUCUAUCAUAUUUAAAUCUUAACUGAGAAAAUGUGCAAAAGUGACAGACACAAAAAUAGGAACCCCAAAACACAUGUUUUUUUUGUUUCAAGUAUAUGUUGUUUUGAGGUAAUAAGAAAUGUUUAAGCAAGGAAUCUUUGGUAUAGAUAAGAAGAAGGCAUCAAAAAUAAACAGUAGUUAAAAAAGAAGUAUGCUAGAGAAACCAGAUAAAACUCGGACAUGUCAGCAUGGCAUUUUUAAGGAAGAGUGGAAUGAGAAGGCAAUUAGUAGAGUAAUAUACACAACAUAAUAUAUUAUCUAUUUUUAUGGUGAAAUUGAAGGAAGUCAAGAAUGAGGCAGCAGUACUCUGGGUAGGUGAUCAGAGAUGAAGAUCUUGUCAAGAGAGCAUUACUUAGAGCCCUUUCUCGUUGCUCUAGAAAUGUGACCCUUUACCCCACAAUUUAUUAUGAUGUAAUAAUGAGAAAAACAUAGAAGCAAGCUAAUUCACAAUUGCUUUGCCAUUGGCGUGGUUAGCUACAUAAUGAGGGAAUUUUUGGGAAAGGGUUACAAGGUGGUUGGACCUUCAGACAAAGAAUGGGACUAAAGGAGACCUCUGAAUUAAGUAAAAAAGAAUAAACCUGAACCUGCCUAGGUACUGCAAUUCUGUUGGUUUUCCUAAUGACUCUGAUUUAAUAUUCAUAGGUAAUAAAUGAUUUUUCUAUCUCUGUUUUCUGCCAUGUUUUAAUUCCUGCUAUAAAUCUUGGGAGGGAAUCAUGUAUAGGAAAAACUUAAGCUCAUUUCCUUAUGCCCUACCCAAGUGCCUGCAAAGUAAAACAUUCAUAAAUGCAUUGGUCAUCUCUACAGUGAUAAUCACCCAGAAGGAGCAGAAAAAGGAUUCCUUACUAAAACAAUAGCAUCGUUACCUCCAAGUCAUAAAGAUUAUCUAUUAAUUAAAUCUUAUCUUUAUUGUGGGGUAUCACCACUGAAGUUUAAAGACGUUAAGUAACAUACUUAAGGGACAUAGAGUAAAUAACUGGUGGAUUCAGAUCUCAGGCUCAAUCUUCAUAGUGUGUUAUUUUGUCUAUACCACUGUAUCUGUUUGUGAAAAAGCACUUUAGUUUGUUCAAAAUUAAAUAUUCCCCAGGGGAAAAAUACUUAAUUUUUAUUAAACUAAAGUUAUGAACUUUCAUAAUUUGUCUAUCAUAGAACAGAGAUCCAGGCUUAAAGAGAAUUUAAACCAUAUACUUCCCCAAAUCACAGAGAUUUUUAAUGCAUGAGUUCAAAAAGCCACUUUUUUGGAACUCUAUGGGGAUUAACCAUUUGAAUAAAAUUCUCUAAUUUUCUCUAAUAUUUCUUUUCUCUUGAAAAUAUUUUGAUAUAAGGGUUAGGAUUGGGAAAUUCCUCUCUAUAGACAGCUUCAGCUUGUUCUAAAAUUAACACAACUUCCUACUGACCUGAAAUGUACCUGCAAGCAAAGGAUGUCAUCAAGGAAUUUUAAUAACAAACAUACAAUUUUAGCAAUAAAAAGGUUUUAGCAAUUGUCAUUUUAAAAGCUUAGUGACUGAUUAUAAUUUAUUUGCAUUAAAAGGUCCCAGCUUUGGCACUUGGUGAUGCAAUAGAUAAUACUAAAGAUGUAAUGACUUGGCUUUAACAAAAUAUCUAUUGUAUCAUUUUAAGAAAGUCAAGAUGGAAUAUAUUAAGGUGCACUGAAAUUGCUGUACAAGGAUAGCUAUUGUCAAUGCCCUUCAAAGACUCCCCAGGAACACAGCUGCUGUUAAACAGGUCAGAUUUAUUGUUCUUUCUGUAAGGGUGAAUGCUUAGUGAACAGCCAGGCAACUCAGUAAGAAGGUCUUCCAAAGAAACUAUUAUAAGAUUUGGGGUAAGAUUGGGUGAUUUGGGGGAAGGUCUAAAAAGGCAAGGAUUCAUUUGACAAUAAAUGAAGUCAAAAAGCAAUCACAUUUUAUGACCGGAUAAAAUAAAAAAAAAGAAGUAGCUACCAUUUAUUUAGUGAGAGAAUAGGGCAUCUGCUAUUUUGUGGGUUGCAAGCACCUAGCUUUUGUUUGUGCUUAGACAAACAUGGAAAGUGUUUUUUGCUUGUCUCAUUUUGCCAUGGUUCUAGACUUUGUCUGAUGUUGGGAUUCUCUGAAGCUGUAUGUGUAACAGGAGUUAUCGCAUGGCUUAGUUGUGAGUGCCAUGUCAGCUUAUAGCAAAUAGUGAUUAAGAAAAAUGUCUAUUAGAGUAACUCUAGAUAAUGUUAAGAAAUUUAAAUAUUAAUUUUUAAUUAUUAGAUCUUUUAAAAAAAUUAACAAUUCCUUUCUCACUCUUCAAAUGACUUGAAAACAUUUUUCAAAAAUGAUAUGUGAUAGAGUUCUCUGGUGACUGUCACUGCUGUGGCUUGGCUUGCUGCUGUGGCAUGGGUUUGAUGUCUGGCCUAGGAAUGUUGGCAUGCGACAGGCACAGCCAAAAAAAAAAAAAAAAAGAUACCUGAGAUAAAUUAAUGAGAAACAGAUGUCGCUCAAAUUAGACUUUCUUGUCAGCAAAGACAGAAAUAAAAGCAAAAUAAAUUAUAUAUUUUCAUCAUAUAAAAGGAGAGAAAAAAAUGUCACUGGUAAUCUUAUGCUUUUCUCUCCAGAACUAUUCUUUACCCUGGUUCCAUGUCCCCCAGGAAACUGGCUGGAAGCUUGCCCUCUGUUGCCCUCUGUCUUCCAUGUAAUAUCCAUUAAUGGACAGAAGGAGAUCAGUAUGUGGGAGAAAGUGAGGUCAGAGUGUUUACUUAGGCUUUGUUUUCUCCUGGAUGUGUCCCAGGAUCCAGAGGAACAAACAGCAGCUGGCAGAUUGCCAACCUCAUGAGCUCUUUUUUUUUUUUUUUUAAAUUGCUAUUCCCCCCACACACACUUUUUUUUUUUUUU
This 4541-nucleotide long non-coding RNA is filed under the name Sus scrofa (pig). RNAcentral's name for it is "lncRNA (ENSSSCG00000060311.1)". The record is from RNAcentral. Lineage: Eukaryota; Metazoa; Chordata; Mammalia; Artiodactyla; Suidae.